GUGUUAGCAAAAUCUAACGCCAGCCGUCAGAAGCUGAAUUUACCAAAGGCGAACAGCACGCCCAAAGCGUGUUUUUU
Molecule: small RNA, 77 nt
Filed under: Muribacter muris
Lineage: Bacteria; Pseudomonadati; Pseudomonadota; Gammaproteobacteria; Pasteurellales; Pasteurellaceae
Description: Actinobacillus muris isrK Hfq binding RNA
Rfam family: isrK Hfq binding RNA
Source: Rfam by way of RNAcentral